GAGGACCAGCUGAACUUCUGUGGAUUCAUAAGAACCUUGGCUCAUUUCUGACCCAUUGAUGAUUACGAAAGGAGCAAAGAUGUGAAUGGACCAGAACCACUUGACAGCUGAAGCAGCAAACUUCACUUUGGUUUUUAAUUAUAUGAUUUGGAUAGAUGUUAGACAACAUCUCCUGCAGUGAGCUGUUACAGGAGCUAUGCAUAAUGGUCAGAGGGAAUAACUCAGAUGAGCGACUGGGCAUCAUCACAGACAGAACCAUCCAGGAGGCUAACUGGGAUGGGGAUGAUGCAAUAUCUUUCACAGGAUGUUUUAAGUUUUUGGAGAAGGUGGACAUAGAACAGAAAAUGAACAUC
RNAcentral lists this long non-coding RNA (353 nucleotides) under Homo sapiens (human). Its description in RNAcentral is "non-protein coding lnc-RAI2-3:1". Lineage: Eukaryota; Metazoa; Chordata; Mammalia; Primates; Hominidae. The record is from RNAcentral.